CCUGCUCACUCUCUCUCUCUCUCUCUCUCUCUCAAAAAUAAAUAAACAUUAAAAAAAAUUGAAAAAAAACAUUAGAAUAUCAUAAGUCUCUAGGUUUUGUUUAAAUCCUGUGCAGGAUAUUAAUAUUUUUGUUCUAGCAGGCAAUAGAGGUGGUUGGGUUCAGGCUACAAAUUCUAACCACUAUUUUGUAGUUUCCAUGUCAAUUCUGUUUUCAAAGCAUUUGCAGUGCUAUUCGGAUCUGUCUUCUGUGUGUGCCACAAUCUGGGACACGUGUGGUGGUCUGUCCUUCAGUUCAGUCUCCGAGUCUUCGCUGUGCUGUCUGGGUCUGUUCUGUCCUUGUGUAGCCUGAGGGGGAGCCUAAGAGUCUCUAAUCAGCUUUACCUGUUACCUUUCCUGAGUUUCUCCUUCUCCAUAAUCUCUGGUACUUGCCGGCUCCCUGGACUUCCUCUUUGAGUCCUAUAUCCAGAAAGCUAGUGCUUUAGCUUUGCUGUUGCACAGGCUACUUCCUGGGAUAGGCCCGUGUCUGGGGCCCAGCAAUGGAGGGACAGAGAGGAAGCACCGACUAUGAUUUGUACCUCCUCCUGGGACCACAGCUUCUCUGUAGAAGAAGGUUUCCCUCCCUCAGAGAUGUUGGUGCCUGCGGGCCCCCACUGCCAUUGUAGGCAUUGCUGCUGCUGGGGUGGCAGGGCUUCCUGGGGCCGGGGCACUAGGGAACAGAGGAAAGAACAAAAGAUGGCAGACUUCCCUGAGACUCUCUGAGCGUUAGGAAAUGCUUUCCUGAUCCUUGAGCCAGAACAGAACUGAAGGGCUUCUGCAGGGCCCGGUGCCCAUUCUGAGUUUUAGGCUGCUUUACAUCUAGACCAGGGGAUUCUAGCAGGGGAAAAACAAAACGGAAAACACUCACUGCUGAUUCAGUGGUGCUUUGAAUUCUGGUCUUCUUUCCCAGUUCCCCUGCUUCUAUUUAUGGACUCCUCAAAUGGCGUUCCGUGUGUUCCAUCAGGUUUUAUAGCAGCAUUCAGUGAGAAAGGGUAGAAUGAACUUACUCCAUUUUACCUAGAGCUGGAAUAAUAUAUUUCAUUUGCUGUCAUGGACUGAAUGUUCAUGUCUCUCUAGAAUUCAUAUGUUGAAGCCCUAACCCCCAAUAUGAUGGUAGUUGGAGAGAGGGCCUUUCGGAGGUAAUUGGGGUUAGAUGAAGCCAUGGAGAUUGAGCCCUUCUGAUGGGAUUAGUGUCCUUAUAGAAAGGGCCACCAGCGUGUACUUGGUGUCAUGCUCUCUCUCCCUCCCACCCUCCGUGCCCUGUGAGGUCACAGAGAGAAGGUGGCCAUCUCCGGGCCAGGAAGGGCACCCUCUCCGGGAAUUCAGUUGGCCACCACCUUGAUACUGGAUUUCACAGCCUUCAGAGCUAUAAGAAAAUAAAUUUCUGUUGUGUAAGCCGUCCGGCCUAAGGUACUUUGUUGUGGCCAUCCAAGCUAAUUGAAGACAUUUGCCAAAAUACUCAUGAAAAAAAUUCAUGACACCUUGAUUGUGUCACUCUCCCCAACUCAUAGCCUUUCCGUGUAGUUCUGCAUAGUUCCACCGAACAUGUUUUCCGCAAGGUUUGCUAACAAUUUAUAUUUAGCUGAAUUUCCAGAAAGAGGAAACGAUUCCCCAAAACUAGACUGGUAGCUUUAGUGCUUUUUAUUGUUUAGUUAUAAUACCUCAAAUAUAUUUUCUGGUAUGUCAGUGUUUUGAAUUAAUUUACUGCUUGAUUGUUUGGGUCCUAGUCCCCUUGACUAAGUUUGCUUCAGAUUUCACUGUAAAUAAUCUCAAGGCUAAGUGACCUACGUCCUGCAUGGACCAAUUCUUUUUAUUGUUUAUUUCAUGCCUUGGAGAAGCUUAUUUCAAAGAGCAUGUGGUUAGAAGGCCACAGUCCCCGCUUCUCCCCCCACACAGCACGGUAAAACACAGGACACUAGAGUAGGUGCCGGAUAAACCGUACUUGAGUGGGGAGCAGAAAGGAACCACGGGACCCUUCUCUGCUCACUUAACAGAAGCCAUCUCAGGUGUUCCCUUUUCCUUUUCCCUUUGCCGCAGUCUUCUACCUCUGUGAACUUGUGCUAAUCGGUAGAGCUGGCUUUGAAGAGCUGCUGAUCGUUGAGGGUAAAGCCUUUCCCUCAUCCAGCUUGCGUCUCUUCCUGGGUGGGGGGGGGGGGCUUGCCCCGCCCCCGCUCCUACUCCACCUGUCCAUACUGUCCUGCGGGUCAGGGCCAGCGCCCAGCUUUGACUCUGGCCCCGCUGGCCAGAAGGCCUGGCUUGACUUGCCUGGGGCUCCCUUGAAAAUAAAAGCCCAUGACUUAUUCUAGGAUAAGAACAGUGUUGUUUCCCCCUCCCACACUAGAGUUUUGUCAAAGCGUUACAUUAUUCCAGAGUUAAUACGUAGGAUUUGCGAAGCUAAACCCCAGUUGUGACUUGGCCACUUCCAUCUUAGACAACAUCAAAAGAGCAGCAUUAGAGAAAAAUAAUUCCACCAGAGCUUGUUUGAAAGAGAAAAGUUAGCCUCUUGGAUAGAAUUAGGUGUCCACGUUCCGGGAAUUCUGGUUAUUUGUGCCGCAGCUGAGAAAAGGUAUAUUACUGUGUUUGGUUUGUAAUUAAAACGGUCUCGUGGGCCUACCCCCCACCUCCCCACCCUGGGGGCACAGGAUAUUCACUAAGACUGGCACUUCCUCUGUUGAUGUUCCCUUUGGGAAACAAAAGAUAGAAAUGGCGAUUAAGGUCUUUCCAGAUAAUAUCCCACACCAAAGUAUUGACAGAAAAGGUUUGUAUAACAUGACAUGAUAACGUAAUGUGAUGUAUGAAUAUUAUUACCUAAGGGUUAUAUUAUACCCAGCCGAUGAGUUAUAUUCGUAUGGUUAUGUGUAUAUUUGUAAAAGUGCGUAGCCUUUCAGUGGUUGACUUUAUAAAUACUUAACCGAGUGUCUGUCUGGUAUGUAAAAAACUGUGCAGGGCAUUGUGAGAAGUAUGGAGGUUUACACAAGAUGGGUUUUUUUUGUUUGUUUGUUUUCUAGCCUUCAAGAAAGUUCAGUGCAGAGUGGGAGUAGCAUCACCGAAGUGACGACCGCGACGUAGUUAGGAGUUGUCAGGAUUUAAACUAGAGAGUGUGGAUGAGGUUUUGACUCUGAAUGUUACUGUACCUUCUGAGGGCUGUGCAUCGGGCAGGUUCUCGGGAAGCCCCUGGGGGGUUUGUUGCUUGCCCAGUUGGGCUGAGAUUAGCAUCCUUCUAGUUUGUAGGAGACGUUAUCCAGGAAGCCAUCUAGUCCGUGGGGGAGGUGGCAUCUCCUGAGUCUUGCUGCCACAGAGAACUUUGAAUGGGUGGAAAAAGGAGUUUGUGAGCAUUCUUGCUAUGUCACAAUGUUGGACAUGUGACUUAAGAGAAGCAUGUGACAGGUCAGUGUGAUUGGACCAUUUGAUUACCAAGUCCAGACUCUAGAGUGACUCAGUGGCCAAUGCUGCUUUUUUAAACUGUUAACUGAAACAUUGGUAUGACAGAAGAUCUAUGAAUAAAAGACCUAAAAUCCUUGUAAACGUACUAUUUAUUGGGACAUCCUGAAGGACUGGGGGAAUCCUUAUUCCCGUAUCAUCUCCCAUCUUGCACUUGUUGAUAAUUGUUCGACAUUCAUUCGGCAUUUACUGGAAGCUUCCAGAUGGCGGACAGCGUGCAAGGUGUCUGAGAUGGCAGAAGGAAAAUACAGAAGAACAGGCUGUAUCUCCUCACUCGGGGUACCUGUAUGAAGGCUGCUUCACUCUGGAGGUUUGGACCUGUGUGGGCAUGUCUGGUAAAAUGAUAGGAGGAUCUGCUGGGAGAGGACUUGCAGAAUACUGGGGACCUUAGCGAGAAAAUUCCUGAAAGUGGAAGACUGUAGAAAUGGUAAUAAGGCCUCAGCUGUUAUGAGAGAGGGGUGACUUCAGUACUUGUGGUAAAGAGGCAGGAUAGGUAGGGUCAAGUGGUAAGAAAUACAGGAGAUAUAUUUGUGUAGAUCACUUAACAGUAGUAUGUAAUCAGUAAAUACUCAUUAUUAUUUGUAUUAUAGUACUCACCCCAGGCUGUCCCUAUAAAAACACAUAUGCAGAGACCUAAGAGACAAAGUGUGAAGAUGCCGGAGGUCUUCAUCAGACCAUGUAGAUGUCCUUUAAUGACCUUAUAGAUUGCUAAAUGUUACCGACAAAUGUUAAUAAUGAUAA
Leopardus geoffroyi (Geoffroy's cat) is the source of this 4218-nucleotide long non-coding RNA. RefSeq lists it as uncharacterized. The record is from RefSeq and is a predicted model, not a curated record. Lineage: Eukaryota; Metazoa; Chordata; Mammalia; Carnivora; Felidae. The transcript has 2 exons.